This 70-nucleotide transfer RNA is filed under the name Marmota monax (woodchuck). RNAcentral describes it as "tRNA.Gly". Lineage: Eukaryota; Metazoa; Chordata; Mammalia; Rodentia; Sciuridae. The record is from RNAcentral.
UGUUGUAGUUCAAUGGUAGAGUGCUUGCCUACCAUGUAUGAGCCCCUGGGUUCAUUCCCAGAUUUAAAAG